RNAcentral lists this transfer RNA (73 nucleotides) under Phanerochaete carnosa HHB-10118-sp. Its description in RNAcentral is "tRNA-Ala". Lineage: Eukaryota; Fungi; Basidiomycota; Agaricomycetes; Polyporales; Phanerochaetaceae. The record is from RNAcentral.
UCCCGUUUAGCUCAGUUGGUAGAGCGCGUCACUAGCAAUGACGAGGUCAGUCGUUCGAGACUUCGAGUCGGCU